This 209-nucleotide long non-coding RNA is filed under the name Elaeis guineensis (African oil palm). RNAcentral describes it as "long non-coding RNA (EGUI_LNC051850)". Lineage: Eukaryota; Viridiplantae; Streptophyta; Magnoliopsida; Arecales; Arecaceae. The record is from RNAcentral.
GUGCACAAAAUUAUGGUCUUUUUAUGAUUAUCGCACAAACCAGAUAAGACAAGAUAAGGACUGGAGUUUAUUGCAAUUCAAACCAUUUUAAAUUUCAAUUUAACUCCAACUUUUUUUCACUCUUAUCUAACUUAAAGAGAGACUUAUCAGAGAAAAUUAGAUAUAAAAAUCAAUUAAGAAGAUUUUUUUUUCUCAUACACAAUAGGCAC